AUGGUUAGAGGGUUAGCAGGUGUCCCGUCCAUGAAGACGAUGAACAACCACAUUGUCAGGCCAAUACCGCGAGUACAGGAUGGGGCCACUCGGGCUUGUGCGGCAGUUCAUGUCGGGCUAACCGGUCGGCAGUCCAACACCAAUCUAGGAGUGCGAGCCAAAGGAAGAUUUUGCUAUGAAUUGGUUGGACUUAAGAGGAGUGUACGUGCUUGUGUUCUCGACUGGAUUCGAGUAGUGCGUUCUCUUCUGUACUGCUGCAAUGACGAAAAUGACAAUUUUGAGAUGAAUUGCAGAGUUCAUGUUUGGUUCAACAAAAGCAGACUAGAUGUUGAGGGGAAAAAUGCAUGCAGGAAAUCAUAUGCGGAUGCUCGGGUAAGGCGAAGAAUACAAACACCAGAUCAUGCAGGUGUGAAUGUCCCGCCAGGAUACAGCUGCAGCAUUCAGACCAGUAUGGCCAGUACACUAGUGAACACAUGCCGGGCCAUAAUCACACUCUUACCGACAAGUGUUGCGAGAAGAUGCACAUUGACGUGUAUGCAUAGAACCUCAUACGGCAGUUGUGCGACAACAAUGUAA
This 576-nucleotide ribosomal RNA is filed under the name Triticum aestivum (bread wheat). Its description in RNAcentral is "partial small subunit ribosomal RNA". Lineage: Eukaryota; Viridiplantae; Streptophyta; Magnoliopsida; Poales; Poaceae. The record is from RNAcentral.